UCGGGAAUUUUGGGCAAUGGGGGAAACCCUGACCCAGCAACGCCGCGUGAAGGAUGAAGUAUUUCGGUAUGUAAACUUCGAAAGAAUAGGAAGAAUAAAUGACGGUACUAUUUAUAAGGUCCGGCUAACUACGUGCCAGCAGCCGCGGUAAUACGUAGGGACCAAGCGUUGUUCGGAUUUACUGGGCGUAAAGGGCGCGUAGGCGGCGUAAUAAGUCACUUGUGAAAUCUCCGGGCUUAACUCGGAGCGGCCAAGUGAUACUGUUAGGCUAGAGUGCAGAAAGGGCAAUCGGAAUUCUUGGUGUAGCGGUGAAAUGCGUAGAUAUCAAGAGGAACACCUGAGGCGAAGGCGGGUUGCUAGGCUGACACUGACGCUGAGGCGCGAAAGCUAGGGUAGCAAACGGGAUUAGAUACCCCAGUAGUCCCUGAGCGGGCUGGCAAGGCGCAU
Molecule: ribosomal RNA, 447 nt
Filed under: uncultured bacterium
Lineage: Bacteria
Description: bacterial SSU rRNA
Rfam family: Bacterial small subunit ribosomal RNA
Source: RNAcentral